This 590-nucleotide ribosomal RNA is filed under the name Oenococcus oeni. Its description in RNAcentral is "bacterial LSU rRNA". It matches the Rfam family "Bacterial large subunit ribosomal RNA", at positions 1355 to 1961 of the family's 2925-position model. The record is from RNAcentral. Lineage: Bacteria; Bacillati; Bacillota; Bacilli; Lactobacillales; Lactobacillaceae.
CCCCGGAAGGCUCGUCCGCGGGGGGUUAGUCGGGACCUAAGGCGAGGCUGAAAAGCGUAGUCGAUGGACAACAGGUUGAUAUUCCUGUACCGAUAUUUAAUUGCCGAAGGAAGGACGCAGAAGGAUAACACAGGCCACUAUUGGAUGUGGUUUUAAACAGUUAGUCUUCAUAAGAGUCAAAUGCUUUUAUGUUUAAGGAUAAGCUGUGAAUGUACCAAGUUUACUUGGAAAUUGUGUGAUUUCACGCUGCUGAAAAAAGUUUCGUAGGAAGAAAAUAUUGCCCGUACCGCAAACCGACACAGGUACUCGAGUGGAGAACACUAAGGUGAGCGAGUGAACUAUUGUUAAGGAACUCUGCAAAAUGAGUCCGUAACUUCGGAAGAAGGACUGCUGGUUUUAUACCAGCCGCAGCAAAUAGGCCCAAACAACUGUUUAUCAAAAACACAGGUUUCUGCAAAAUCGUAAGAUGAAGUAUAGGGGCUGACGCCUGCCCAGUGCUGGAAGGUUAAAAGGAGGACUUAGCUUCGGCGAAGGUCUUAAUUGAAGCCCCAGUGAACGGCGGCCGUAACUAUAACGGUCCUAAGGUAGCG